Erinaceus europaeus (western European hedgehog) is the source of this 282-nucleotide non-coding RNA. Lineage: Eukaryota; Metazoa; Chordata; Mammalia; Eulipotyphla; Erinaceidae. The record is from Rfam.
GGAAAUCUGGAUGCUUUAUCUAUAACCUCACUGAACAUUAGAGUUCUUUAGGCUUAUCUGAUUGGCCCCUCUCUGCUCCUAGUGAGUCCCUCCUGAUACUGUAUUCUCAGUAGAAAAGGGUAGCUUUCCUUGAGGAGAGAUAGAGGGUCAGCAGGCUAAGGUAUUCUGUAGCGGGACUCUAGCUAGAACCUUCAAACAAGCUCUCAAGUUCCAGCCACCCAGGGUAACUAUCACUUGAACAGUGCACUCACUGUUUUCCCUUGUGUAUGCACUCAGAUUGAA